Molecule: long non-coding RNA, 252 nt
Organism: Rhipicephalus sanguineus (brown dog tick)
Lineage: Eukaryota; Metazoa; Arthropoda; Arachnida; Ixodida; Ixodidae
Exons: 3
Source: RefSeq, a predicted model, not a curated record
CUCCAGCCCCAACAACACUCGGUGGUUAGCACGCUUGCGUUGUGCUCCGCGGUAGCAUUCCUUCCCGCCGGUGCGUGCGCCGCACCUACCGAUGAAUCCAGCGCCCCUGCGCAAGGGCGCGGCGGCACCGAAAUGCUUUUCGACCAAACGGAUCAACGAUGUCUCCAAGAAGCUCAGUUUACUACAAAUGAGAUAGCGGCAGUAGUAGAGGUCCGCAUGCGAGCUACGGCUGAAGUGGGAUUCCAGGACGCG